UACGGAGGGGGCUAGCGUUGUUCGGAAUUACUUGGCGUAAAGCGCACGUCGGCGGCUUUGUAAGUUAGAGGUGAAAGCCCGGAGCUCAACUCCGGAAUUGCCUUUAAGACUGCAUCGCUAGAAUUGUGGAGAGGUGAGUGGAAUUCCGAGUGUAGAGGUGAAAUUCGUAGAUAUUCGGAAGAACACCAGUGGCGAAGGCGACUCACUGGACACAUAUUGACGCUGAGGUGCGAAAGCGUGGGCAGCAAACAGG
Molecule: ribosomal RNA, 253 nt
Filed under: uncultured bacterium
Lineage: Bacteria
Description: partial 16S ribosomal RNA
Rfam family: Bacterial small subunit ribosomal RNA
Source: RNAcentral